This is a long non-coding RNA of Taeniopygia guttata (zebra finch), 2438 nucleotides long. Lineage: Eukaryota; Metazoa; Chordata; Aves; Passeriformes; Estrildidae. The record is from Ensembl.
CUGGAAUGCUGAAAAUUUUAGUGCACCUCAAGGAGGAUUUGCCAAGCACCAGAGACAGAGCUUUAUGGAUAGGCACAGCGUUGUCCCGUAGUGGGAAAAGUCUUGUCUGGAGACUCAGAAAGCCAGGCGUCGAGUCUUGCAGGCUGGCUCCCAUCUGCCCGAAGUGACACACACGCCCUCCUCGAACAGACCGGAACCAGAGCGCGUCUGGGGGAGCGGGCACGUUAGUUGUGACCCCCCCGGUUCAUUCAGACUGCUGUCGGGCAAGGAAAAUCACUUCGGGUGCGGAUGUGGUCACAAACAGAAGCCACACGCCUCAUCCCUGGUGAACUGAUAAUGCAUGCUGUCCGGCAAAAGGCACGAGCUCUGCAUCCCUUGCGAAAACUCCCUCGGCAUCAGCUGUCCCGGCUCCGGACGGGUGUUUUGCAAUCUGGAGCAAGAUUUGGAAGCAAAACCUAGCGCAGGCUCCCUGAUAGCCGGUGGCAAUUCCACACCGAAAGGAUUUCCUUACAUCUUUUGAUGGAGUGCUUUAACACUCAUCCGUGGCUCUGCUCUCCCAUUGCCGGUGUGGAGGGGGGAUGGGGGGACAGCCCCUCUUCUGCGUGACAGCCUGCACAAUGACAGGCUGUCUCUGUUGUCAUUUUGUGUGCAUGCUAUGUGGGUUUUUUUUUGUUUUCACCAGCAGCCUUAGGGGGAAAGUCACGUAUUUUACAUCUUUCCCAGCACAGAGAUGCUGCCUGGAUUGGAGAGACAUUGUCUGCAGAGACCAGCGACCCCUCCACCCUUCGGGCAUGAGCCAACACAAAAGAAGGCACAAACAUGGAAAAUACUCUUUUUUAUAAAAUAGGUAUUUUAGUGGAAGUAACAUGGCUGGGUAGUGCCCUGACACCUCCCUACCAGCACUGCUGUUUCUGCCAGCUGCUCUACAGGGUACAGGACACAUGUGCUGUUGGCUCCUCUGCUCCAAGUCCCUCUUCUUCCAGGCAGUACUAUACAUUCCAAGUUUUACUUUAAAAAAAAACCAAAAAAAAACUUUCUUCAGUCCUUCUCCUGACUGUAUGCACACAGGGAUGGAGCGUGUUUUGAAGCAGUGCUGGCACAGCUGGCUGCCAAGCUCUGGAUGUUGCUCGGACCUCGCUGACCGCUGUGUUAAACCAUCCAGCGUGGAGCAGGGCCAGCGCGGAGCCAGCUGAGCGCACGGCGGGCAGAGGAUGCGCUGCUGCAGCGGGUGAAGCGCUCCCCUGCAGCCCAGGCCCUCGCUCCAGAGGUGCCAUCCUCCGAGUCUUUACAGGAACGGCGAGACCGCCCGGCUCACAGGAUGGUUACUACUGCCCUGGCAAGGCCCUGGGCCCAGGGGCUUUGCUACAGCGCUGGUGGGUUUGCCCUCAGCCUCCGCUCCCCCUCCAGCUCCAAACAAGUUAGUGGCUCAGCCCUUAAUCUCUGGGAUGAAAUGUCCUGCUGACACGGCCGGUGCUGUCCCCGGGAGAGCUCCCGCUUAUCCCAGCCCUGCAGCUCUUCCCUUUGUUCCUAGCUGGCUUCCAGUCCCCGCGGCGGUGCCAGAGCCACGAUGUGUGCAGUGACAGGGAAGCGCAUUCGUGGAUGGCGGGAGAGCGUCACGGGCUGCCCUCCGUGCCAGUGCCGCUGUGCUGCGCCCACGGACUCGGGGAGGAAUCCAAACCGGGGAACAUGUCCCCAGUCUUACCCCCGGAGGCUGGCAAACCCCGCAUGGACUAAGUUGCAAAUAAGAAGCUGCCUCUGUGCAGCGCGGGCCUCGCCGUUUCCAGCACGAGGCAUUGCGUGCUCACCGGCUGGGACAUCACCAGCGGCUUCGCCCCGGUCCCUCCCGCUUCGCCCCUCUUUCUGGCCUCGAGCAGGCAGACAGCAGCAAGGCUGGCGCGGGUUUUGUCCCGCUCUGUGUUCUCUGGAAAAGGACCUUGUUUUCUCCCCGGUAUCCGCCCGAUUUCUGACAAUGCCCUGAGUGUCUGCGAGGACACGCACGUUAGCUCUGGGUCACGUCCGCCUGCAAGCAGAGCCUGGGCUGCGCUCCCCUUGCCGGCGGCCAGCCGAGGACAGUCCGGGCAGAGCCCCACGGCGAUGGAACAGCGCGAAACCAGCCCUUCCUCCUCUACGUGCGUGCGCUCACCCAGCGCCACGGGAACAUUUGGGUCGGGCCCAGCCGAGAGUAGUUAGAGGGGGAAAAAAACCGCAGCGGUCUGCGAGAGGUACUGAGCACUGAUCCGCGUCCUCACGGACCGCACGGGCCGGACCGGGCUGCGCGAGGAUGCUCCCAGCCCCGAGAGGCGGAGCGGAACGGAGCGGAACGGAGCGUCCCGCGAGCGCAGCCCCGCAGCACGGCGGCCUUUGCGCCCCGCUUUCCCCCCGCAAAGCUUGGAGACUCCGGCGGAGGGAUGCCGGUCAUCCCCGCCAACCCUGUGUCC